This 466-nucleotide ribosomal RNA is filed under the name Vreelandella stevensii. RNAcentral's name for it is "partial 16S ribosomal RNA". It matches the Rfam family "Bacterial small subunit ribosomal RNA", at positions 338 to 795 of the family's 1533-position model. The record is from RNAcentral. Lineage: Bacteria; Pseudomonadati; Pseudomonadota; Gammaproteobacteria; Oceanospirillales; Halomonadaceae.
CCUACGGGUGGCUGCAGUGGGGAAUAUUGGACAAUGGGCGAAAGCCUGAUCCAGCCAUGCCGCGUGUGUGAAGAAGGCCUUCGGGUUGUAAAGCACUUUCAGUGGGGAAGAAAGCCUUGGGGCUAAUACCCUCGAGGAAGGACAUCACCCACAGAAGAAGCACCGGCUAACUCCGUGCCAGCAGCCGCGGUAAUACGGAGGGUGCGAGCGUUAAUCGGAAUUACUGGGCGUAAAGCGCGCGUAGGCGGUCUGAUAAGCCGGUUGUGAAAGCCCCGGGCUCAACCUGGGAACGGCAUCCGGAACUGUCAGGCUAGAGUGCAGGAGAGGAAGGUAGAAUUCCCGGUGUAGCGGUGAAAUGCGUAGAGAUCGGGAGGAAUACCAGUGGCGAAGGCGGCCUUCUGGACUGACACUGACGCUGAGGUGCGAAAGCGUGGGUAGCAAACAGGAUUAGAUACCCCGAGUAGUC